AUCGAGCUAAGACCAAAAGUCUCCGAACGUGCAUGCUUUCCAUAUGCGCGUAUACGUGAGCCGCACAGCAAGUUGCACACAUGUGGUGGUGGUGGCCGUCAGCCGUGCUUUUUUGGCAGACAGUGGUCUGUAGCUUGCUGUGCGUUGAGGGGGGAUAGGUGACGUACUGGGCUAGUUAGAAAGGUACGUCGCUAAUGCCUAUUCUCUCGUUAUUCGCAAAAACGGUGUCCUCUUUGGCGUCUUUGCCUCACCUAGCUAUUGCCUGGACCGUCGGUAGCGAUGAAAGGUGGGGAGAAAGCUCCUCUUUCCGGGUCGAGUAGACUUAAUGAGCCUCAGCUAGGAGGCCGCCAAAACCCAAACACAACCAGUCUUAUGUUUGAAGUUGUAGAAGGUGUUUCUAACCCUUGUUUGGGUGGAUCGUCUUCAAAUCGAGUUA
This 436-nucleotide ribosomal RNA is filed under the name Hysterothylacium persicum. RNAcentral's name for it is "partial 18S ribosomal RNA". Lineage: Eukaryota; Metazoa; Nematoda; Chromadorea; Rhabditida; Raphidascarididae. The record is from RNAcentral.